GGGCCGUUAGCUCAGUUGGUAGAGCAUCUGACUUUUAAUCAGAGGGUCGCAGGUUCGACUCCUGCACGGCUCACCA
This 76-nucleotide transfer RNA is filed under the name Pseudomonadota bacterium. RNAcentral's name for it is "Proteobacteria bacterium (sediment metagenome) tRNA-Lys". It matches the Rfam family "tRNA". Rfam says of the family: Transfer RNA (tRNA) molecules are approximately 80 nucleotides in length. Their secondary structure includes four short double-helical elements and three loops (D, anti-codon, and T loops). RNAcentral also lists the same sequence under 1 other name. The record is from RNAcentral. Lineage: Bacteria; Pseudomonadati; Pseudomonadota.